AGGACGAACGCUGGCGGCGUGCCUAAUGCAUGCAAGUCGCACGCACCUUCGGGUGAGUGGCGCACGGCUGAGGAACACGUGGCUAACCUGCCCUGGAGUGGGGGAUAACGGGCCGAAAGGCUCGCUAAGCCCGCAUACGAUUGGCUUCGGCCAAGGAAAGCCGCAAGGCGCUCUAGGAGGGGGCCGCGCCCCAUUAGAUAGUUGGUGUGGUAACGGCGCACCAAGUCCGUGAUGGGUUCCGGGUCUGAGAGGACGACCCGGCAGACUGGGACUGAGACACGGCCCAGACUCCUACGGGGGCAGCAGCAAGGAUUUCCCCAAUGGGCGCAAGCCUGAGGGAGCAACGCCGCGUGGA
Molecule: ribosomal RNA, 355 nt
Filed under: uncultured soil bacterium
Lineage: Bacteria
Description: bacterial SSU rRNA
Rfam family: Bacterial small subunit ribosomal RNA
Source: RNAcentral